CCUACGGGAGGCAGCAGUGAGGAAUAUUGGUCAAUGGGCGAGAGCCUGAACCAGCCAAGUCGCGUGAGGGAGUACUGCCCUAUGGGUUGUAAACCUCUUUUGUCGGGGAGCAAAAGCCGGACGUGUCCGGCUGUGAGAGUACCCGAAGAAAAAGCAUCGGCUAAUUCCGUGCCAGCAGCCGCGGUAAUACGGAGGAUGCGAGCGUUAUCCGGAUUUAUUGGGUUUAAAGGGUGCGCAGGCGGAUUUUUAAGUCAGCGGUAAAAUCGUGGGGCUCAACCCCAUCCAGCCGUUGAAACUGGGGAUCUAGAGUGUGCGAGAGGUAUGCGGAAUGCGUGGUGUAGCGGUGAAAUGCAUAGAUAUCACGCAGAACCCCGAUUGCGAAGGCAGCAUACCGGUGCACAACUGACGCUCAGGCACGAAAGCGUGGGUAUCGAACAGGAUUAGAUACCCUUGUAGUC
Molecule: ribosomal RNA, 458 nt
Filed under: uncultured bacterium
Lineage: Bacteria
Description: partial 16S ribosomal RNA
Rfam family: Bacterial small subunit ribosomal RNA
Source: RNAcentral